UUUUUUUAUUAAAAAUGUAUGACUCUAUAACUUUUAGACCGUGAGGCCAAACUUGACAUGUAAUACAUUUUCGGAAAGCCAAAAGAGAGCUCUCCGAUGAAUGAGGAAUCGCAAUGGAAUUCUUCCAUUGUUUUUUUUUCUAUUCCAAAUUUGGACCUUAAUGUACUUUUUCAGGCCUUUUCGUGAUCUUUGCUAUAUUACGGAGCAAACAUUAUAUGUUCGGACAUUGUUUUCGAAUAUUUUGCAUGUAUCAAAGCUCUUAUAAACAAGAUAGGGUAUUCCUACAUAGCUGGUGGGACCCACGGCAAAUGGAUCAUAAAGUCUUCAAAAAAGAAUAGAUACGAUUGCAUUGCAUGUAGUAACAGAUGCAAACAUACCAGCAUUAAUGCACCAGAUCCCAUCAGAACUAUGUAGUUAAGCGUGCUUGGGCGAGAGUAGUUGAUAUGUCUAUAAUUUGCAUGUUUUACACAUCCUUUUAUCACCAUUUUGAGUAUAGUUUCAUCCAUCUUUCAUAGCAUUCACCAUCAUUUUUGUACAUUUUGCAUCUUUAGUCGAGUCUAGGACUAGUCUUGCAUACAUUUUGCAUUUUGGAGUUGUUUCAGGUGUUUUGGAGCUAUUGGUGCUCAGAAAGAGGGAAAACAGAACAGAAAGUGACACUUCCACCAAAAACACUCGAUCACCAGUAGCAGAGAGGAAAGCAGUCAGCUCAGUAGUCCAUCCAUACACUUCUACUCGACCGCAGAGGAGAGGAGGCAGUCCAUU
This 762-nucleotide small RNA is filed under the name Arabidopsis thaliana (thale cress). The record is from RNAcentral. Lineage: Eukaryota; Viridiplantae; Streptophyta; Magnoliopsida; Brassicales; Brassicaceae.